Molecule: ribosomal RNA, 497 nt
Filed under: uncultured bacterium
Lineage: Bacteria
Description: partial 16S ribosomal RNA
Rfam family: Bacterial small subunit ribosomal RNA
Source: RNAcentral
GACGAACGCUGGCGGCGUGCCUAAUACAUGCAAGUUGAGCGCUGAAGGUUGGUACUUGUACCAACUGGAUGAGCAGCGAACGGGUGAGUAACGCGUGGGGAAUCUGCCUUUGAGCGGGGGACAACAUUUGGAAACGAAUGCUAAUACCGCAUAAAAACUUUAAACACAAGUUUUAAGUUUGAAAAAUGCAAUUGCAUCACUCAAAGAUGAUCCCGCGUUGUAUUAGCUAGUUGGUGAGGUAAAGGCUCACCAAGGCGAUGAUACAUAGCCGACCUGAGAGGGUGAUCGGCCACAUUGGGACUGAGACACGGCCCAAACUCCUACGGGAGGCAGCAGUAGGGAAUCUUCGGCAAUGGACGAAAGUCUGACCGAGCAACGCCGCGUGAGUGAAGAAGGUUUUCGGAUCGUAAAACUCUGUUGGUAGAGAAGAACGUUGGUGAGAGUGGAAAGCUCAUCAAGUGACGGUAACUACCCAGAAAGGGACGGCUAACUACGUG